GCGAAAGUGGGGGAACUGGUAGACCCGCUGGAUUUAGGUUCCAGUGCCGCAAGGCGUGAGAGUUCGAGUCUCUCCUUUCGCACCA
Molecule: transfer RNA, 85 nt
Filed under: Pseudomonadales bacterium
Lineage: Bacteria; Pseudomonadati; Pseudomonadota; Gammaproteobacteria; Pseudomonadales
Also listed under: 1 other name
Description: tRNA-Leu
Rfam family: tRNA
About the family: Transfer RNA (tRNA) molecules are approximately 80 nucleotides in length. Their secondary structure includes four short double-helical elements and three loops (D, anti-codon, and T loops). Further hydrogen bonds mediate the characteristic L-shaped molecular structure. tRNAs have two regions of fundamental functional importance: the anti-codon, which is responsible for specific mRNA codon recognition, and the 3' end, to which the tRNAs corresponding amino acid is attached (by aminoacyl-tRNA synthetases). tRNAs cope with the degeneracy of the genetic code in two manners: having more than one tRNA (with a specific anti-codon) for a particular amino acid; and 'wobble' base-pairing, i.e. permitting non-standard base-pairing at the 3rd anti-codon position.
Source: RNAcentral